GGAGAUUCAGGGGCGAGAAAUUCUGAACAAAAUCAGAAUAAACUGGAAAAAGGCCAAUUAAAAUUCUUAAUAAAAUAGUACCGGAAUACAACACUGCUUGGAAUUCAGGUCUUGAACCAUUAACACGAAAGCUCAGAGGCAGUCACCCUGGCUGCUCAGGGACAUCAGAGCCCUUCAAGACUCGGGUGCUGCCACGUCCGUGUGGCCCUCGCGGUUCCGGGGCAGCGCGUGGGUCCGACGCAGAACAGGAGUGAGUAAAAACUGCUGAGCGCCGCCCCAAAGACGAGGUUCCACCGAGACUCGAACUCGGAUUCACGCUGGAUUCAGAGUCCAGAGUGCUCGCCAUCACACCAUGGAACCACCGGGGACCCUUCAGCUGGGAUCACUGAAUUCAGAGGCCAGAGUGCUCACCAUAACGCAGACCCUCCCGCAGCCCGUCCCUGCCAGCAGUUGAGCCAGGCGCGCGCAGCCCCGCCGGCCCAGGACCCGCUUCCCGCCGGGCGCGCUCCUCAGCCGCGCGCAGCCCGCGUCCUCCGCGACGCCAGGGGGCGCCGGCCUUGCCUGCCCUCGGCCUCCCUGCAGGUUAGUACGUCCAGGAGGACAUGAAAUCCACUGGGGUCAGCGACAGGGCAGGGCUUUCAGGCCUCCCCCAAGUCCACCUGCUCUGCCAGCAUUUGUGGAGUGUUCUACGCUGAGGAGUUCUACUUCAGCGCAGGAAACUCUACAAAUGCUGGCAGAACAGAGGGUUUGGGGUGGGCCCUGCCCUGUCGCUGACCUCAACGGAUUUUAUCGUCCUCUGGUACAAACCUGCCCGGAGGCCGCGGGCAGGCGAGUCCGGAGCCUCCUGGCGUCGAGGCGGAAGCGGGCUGGGGGCUGCGGGGUGAGGAGCGCGCCCGGCGGGAGGCGGGGCCUGGGCCGGCGGGGCUGCGCGCGGCCUGGCUCAGCGGCUGCAAGGUAAAGGCCGGUGGGCGGUUCCAUGGUGUAAUGGUGAGCACUCUGGACUCUGAAUCCAGCGAUCCGAGUUC
Molecule: transfer RNA, 1025 nt
Filed under: Sus scrofa (pig)
Lineage: Eukaryota; Metazoa; Chordata; Mammalia; Artiodactyla; Suidae
Description: lncRNA (ENSSSCG00025057680.1)
Rfam family: tRNA (bases 971-1025)
Source: RNAcentral